AUGAACGCUGGCGGCGUGCCUAAUACAUGCAAGUCGAGCGAACAGACGAGGAGCUUGUUCCUCUGACGUUAGCGGCGGACGGGUGAGUAACACGUGGAUAACCUACCUAUAAGACUGGGAUAACUUCGGGAAACCGGAGCUAAUACCGGAUAAUAUAUUGAACCGCAUGGUUCAAUAGUGAAAGACGGUUUUGCUGUCACUUAUAGAUGGAUCCGCGCCGCAUUAGCUAGUUGGUAAGGUAACGGCUUACCAAGGCGACGAUGCGUAGCCGACCUGAGAGGGUGAUCGGCCACACUGGAACUGAGACACGGUCCAGACUCCUACGGGAGGCAGCAGUAGGGAAUCUUCCGCAAUGGGCGAAAGCCUGACGGAGCAACGCCGCGUGAGUGAUGAAGGUCUUCGGAUCGUAAAACUCUGUUAUUAGGGAAGAACAAAUGUGUAAGUAACUAUGCACGUCUUGACGGUACCUAAUCAGAAAGCCACGGCUAACUACGUG
This 496-nucleotide ribosomal RNA is filed under the name uncultured bacterium. Its description in RNAcentral is "partial 16S ribosomal RNA". It matches the Rfam family "Bacterial small subunit ribosomal RNA", at positions 29 to 507 of the family's 1533-position model. The record is from RNAcentral.